UUAAAGCUAGCCUAUAUAUCAAUUCAACUAGACCUUAUAAAUCUAAUAUAUACUACAAUUUUUAAUCAAAACAUUCUCAACCUUCUAGUAUGGGCGACAGAACAAUAACCUCAGCGCAAUAGUUUAUGUACCGCAAGGGAAAGCUGAAAAAGAAAUGAAACAAAUCAUUAAAGUACUAAAAAGCAGAGAUUAUACCUCGUACCUUUUGCAUCAUGAUUUAGCUAGAAAAACUAGGCAAAAAGACCUUAAGUCUAUCUCCCCGAAACUAAACGAGCUACUCCGAAGCAGCAUUAUAGAGCCAACCCGUCUCUGUGGCAAAAGAGUGGGAAGACUUCCGAGUAGCGGUGAAAAGCCUACCGAGUUUAGUGAUAGCUGGUUACCCAAGAAAAGAACUUCAGUUCUGCAUUAAUUUUUCACCAUCUAAACAAGACUUACUCGUCAAAGAAAUAUAUAAGAAUUAAUAGUUAUUUAGAAGAGGUACAACCCUUCUAAACCAAGACACAACUUUUUAAGGUGGGAAAUGAUCAUAAUUAUUAAGGUUGCCAUCUCAGUGGGCCUAAAAGCAGCCACCUGUUAAGCAAGCGUCGCAGCUCUAAUCUAAUAAUUAAACCCCUAAUUCAGAUAUUCAUUCACAACCCCCUUUAUUUUAUUGGGUUAUUUUAUAUUUAUAUAAAAGAACUUAUGCUAAAAUGAGUAAUAAAGAGAACAAAUCUCUCCCGACACAAGUGUACGUCAGAAAGAAUUAAAUCACUGAUAAUUAAACGACCCCAAACUGAGGUCAUUAUAUCACUUAAUCAUUAACUAGAAAACCCUAUUCUCUUACUCGUUAUCCCUACACAGGAGUGUCAUCAGGAAAGA
This 858-nucleotide ribosomal RNA is filed under the name Carcharhinus isodon (finetooth shark). RNAcentral describes it as "partial 16S ribosomal RNA". The stretch from base 186 to 689 matches the Rfam family "Bacterial large subunit ribosomal RNA", at positions 573 to 1301 of the family's 2925-position model. Lineage: Eukaryota; Metazoa; Chordata; Chondrichthyes; Carcharhiniformes; Carcharhinidae. The record is from RNAcentral.